This 284-nucleotide long non-coding RNA is filed under the name Coffea arabica (coffee). RNAcentral's name for it is "long non-coding RNA (CARA_LNC008026)". The record is from RNAcentral. Lineage: Eukaryota; Viridiplantae; Streptophyta; Magnoliopsida; Gentianales; Rubiaceae.
UUUUUUUCAUUCGGCCAAGCUCUCUGUUUUUUCCUUCAUUCCCUUAGCCGUCUCCUCUCUUUAGUUUGCUCUGCUUUUCUUUAGCCGCCAAUUUCACCCUCUCCCUUGUUUUGUUUUCUCAGCUGACAGAUGAUUCCCCAGCUUUCUCUCACAAAAACCCUUCCUCUGGUCUCUUUUUCCUAGCCUCUCUCUAUCUCCCCCCAAACUCUCUCCCUUGCUAUUUGUUUUUGUUUUUCUGCUCAUCCCCGAUCCUCUCUCUUGCGGCUGGCUUUCCUUUUUCUAUU